GCGGAUGUGGCGUAACUGGCAGACGCACAAGAUUCAGGUUCUUGUACCGAAAGGUGUAUGGGUUCGAGUCCCAUCAUCCGUACCA
Molecule: transfer RNA, 85 nt
Filed under: Caudoviricetes sp.
Lineage: Duplodnaviria; Heunggongvirae; Uroviricota; Caudoviricetes
Description: tRNA-Leu
Rfam family: tRNA
About the family: Transfer RNA (tRNA) molecules are approximately 80 nucleotides in length. Their secondary structure includes four short double-helical elements and three loops (D, anti-codon, and T loops).
Source: RNAcentral